CUGUCUUAUCAUAACUAUCUACUUCAAAUAAUUUUUAAAGCCCUGGUCUUUUUCAAGUAGUUUUUUGUCCCGAAAAAGUAAAAAACUUAGAAAUGGUGAUUAAUUUAUUUACUACGGUAUGUUAUUUAAUAACGAGCAAGGGUUAUGGUAGGGUUAGGGUUAAGUUAUAAAGUUGGUGUUUGGAAUAGGGUUAGUGUAAAGCUUUGUUACUUUUUGUCAUUCUGAGGCCAGCGAAAUAAUCUCUUACGCAACAUGCAUGCGUACGCGUCUACUAUCGUCAAGAAACAAUGAAUACGUAUAAUCGUUGUGGUCUGUGGGAUUUUAAUGAAAUUUAAUGACCUUGCAGUUUUAACACACAUUAGCCGAAUUCAUAUUAGAGACGGGAAACUCGUAUUAGACGGGAAACUCGUCUUAAAUUCGAAUUUAUCCGUCCCUAAAUUCAUAUUCAGACGGGUUUUCACAGACGAG
Non-coding RNA from Paramuricea clavata, 468 nucleotides. Lineage: Eukaryota; Metazoa; Cnidaria; Anthozoa; Malacalcyonacea; Plexauridae. The record is from the annotation of a GenBank genome assembly.